UGGAAACGACUGCUAAUACCGCAUGACACUUUUGGGAGACAUCUCCUGGAAGUCAAAGCUUUAUGUGCUGAAAGAUGGCCUCGCGUCUGAUUAGCUGGUUGGUGAGGUAACGGCUCACCAAGGCGACGAUCAGUAGCCGGUCUGAGAGGAUGAACGGCCACAUUGGGACUGAGAUACGGCCCAGACUCCUACGGGAGGCAGCAGUGGGGAAUAUUGGGCAAUGGGGGAAACCCUGACCCAGCAACGCCGCGUGAAGGAAGAAGGCCUUCGGGUUGUAAACUUCUUUUACCAGGGACGAAGGACGUGACGGUACCUGGAGAAAAAGCAACGGCUAACUACGUGCCAGCAGCCGCGGUAAUACGUAGGUUGCAAGCGUUGUCCGGAUUUACUGGGUGUAAAGGGCGUGUAGGCGGAGAUGCAAGUUGGGAGUGAAAUCCAUGGGCUC
Molecule: ribosomal RNA, 445 nt
Filed under: uncultured bacterium
Lineage: Bacteria
Description: bacterial SSU rRNA
Rfam family: Bacterial small subunit ribosomal RNA
Source: RNAcentral